AGGCGGGGCGGGAGAGGUGGGGGAGUGGGUGGCAGCCGCCGCGCUGGGAGCCGAGCAGAGCCGCGCCGAUCGCCAUCCGGCCUGGGCACUCGCGCGCGAUCCCGGCCGGCAGCGCGGCCCAUGGAGCUCGAGAACAUCGUAGCGGACACGGUGCUCCUCAAGGCCCGGGAAGGUAGCGGUGGAAAUCGCAAAGGCAAAAGCAAGAAAUGGCGGCAGAUGCUCCAGUUCCCCCACAUCAGCCAGUGCGAAGAGCUGCGGCUCAGUCUCGAACGUGACUAUCACAGCCUGUGCGAGCGGCAGCCCAUCGGGCGCCUGCUGUUCUGAGAGUUCUGUGCCACCAGGCCGGAGCUGAGCCGUUGCAUCGCCUUCCAGGAUGGGAUGGCCGAGUAUGAAGCGACCCCGGAUGAGAAGCGGAAGGCAUGUGGGCGGCGGCUAAUGCAGAAUUUUCUUGAGCCACAGGUUCCUGACCUCAUCCCUGAGGUCCCCCCGGCAGCUGGUGACGAACUGCACCCAGCGGCUGGAGCAGGGGCCCUGCAAAGAACUCUCCCAGGAACUCACCCGGGUGACCCACGGGUACCUGAGCAUGGCCCCUUUUGCCGACUACCUCAACAGCAUCUACUUCAACCGUUUCCUGCAGUGGAAGUGGCUGGAAAGGCAGCCAGUGACCAAAAAUACCUUCAGGCAGUACCGAGUCCUGGGCAAAGGUGGCUUUGGGGAGGUGUGCGCCUGCCAGGUGCGGGCCACAGGCAAGAUGUACGCCUUCAAGAAGCUAGAAAAAAAGCGGAUCAAGAAGCAGAAAGGGGAGGCCAUGGCGCUGAACGAGAAGCAGAUCCUGGAGAGAGUGAACAGUAGGUUUAUAGUGAGCUUGGCCUACACCUGUGAGACCAAGGAGGCGCUGUGCCUGGUGCUGACGCUGAUGAACGGGGGCGACCUCAAUUUCCACAUCUGCCACAUGGGCCGGGCUGGCUUCCCCGAAGCGCAGGCCGUCUUCUACGUCCCGAGAUCUGCUUGCGGUCUGGAGGACCUGCACCGGGAGCGCAUAGUGUACAGGGACCUGAAGCCAGGAACAUCUUGCUGGAUGACCACGGCCACAUCCUCGUCUCCGACCUGGGACUGGCUGUGCACGUGCCCGAGGGCCAGACCAUCAAAGGCCGUGUGGGCACCGUGAGCUACAUGGCUCCAGAGGUGGUGAAGAAUGAACCGUACACUUUCAGCUCUGACUGUUGGGCGCUAGGCUGCCUCCCGCAGGAGAUGAUUGCAGGCCAGUCGCUCUUCCAGCAGAGGAAGAAGAUGAUCAAGCGGGAGGAGGUGGAGCGGCUGGUGAAGGAGGACCCCGAGGAGUAUUCCGAGCGCUUUUCCCCGCAGGCCUGCUCACAGCUCCUCUGCAAGGACCCCGCUGAACGCCUGGGGUGUCGUGGGGGCAGUGCCCGCGAAGUGAAGGAGCACCCCCUGUUGAAGAAGCUGAACUUCAAGCGGGUGGGAGCCGGCAUGCUGGAGCCGCCCUUCAAGCCUGACCCUCGGGCCAUUUACUGCAAGGAUAUUCUGGACAUUAAACAGUUCUCUAGGGUCAAGGGUGUGGAGCUGGAGGCUACCGACCAAGACUUCUACCAGAAGUUUGCCACAGGCAGUGUGCCCAUCCCCUGGCAGAAGGGGAUGGUGGAGACUGAGUGCUUCCAGGAGCUGAAUGUCUUUGGGCUGGAUGGCUCAGUUCCCCCAGACCUGGACUGGAAGGGCCAGCCACCUGCAAGGGACUGCUGCAGAGACUCUUCAGUCGCCAAAGGAUUGCUGUGGAAACUGCGGGGACAGCGAGGAAGAGCUCCCUACCCGCCUCUAGCCCCCAGCCAGAGGCCCCCACGGGCAGUGGGCGGUAGUAGCUACUCCGAGUGCCUUUUACAGUUUUGCACAGUGGACUUCCCCAUUGUCCACUCAAGUUGUGGCCUGGGGAACACAGACGGAACUGUCCCCAGUGUCCUCUGCCCCCUCAGCCCCUGGCCUGCCUGAGUUUGGCAGGGCCUGGGCCAUCCCUGGGACAAAGGUGCGUCCCUUCAGCUCUUCUCCGUGGAGCUCGGGGCUUUCUGUAUUUAUGUAUUUGUACCAAUGUAUAUAGUGACCAGGGCAUUCUUAGUUCCUGCCACAGACCUGGCGCCCCCUCCUUGGCUCCUGGGGGCAGCCAGCCCUGGCUGGGAGAGCGGGAGCUGGCAGAGGAGCCACUGCCAAACUUAAGGCUCCUCCGACCCAGCUUGGAUGGCUGAGGAUCACACCCCUGAGCCUUCAGCACGGUGCUGACCACCCCUAGCCUCUGAGUAAGACUUGUGCCUGCCCCUGCUGCCCUGGACUCAGGCUUCUGCCCUCUGGGGACUAAAGCUGUCCCUUCUCAGUACUUGUCAGAGCUGGAUCUGGGGCCUGUAUAUCCCCUAGGCCUGUGCCAAAGUGGCCAGAGAUUGGGCCGGCUGUGAGACCCAUCAGCCCACUGCCCCGGCCGGCCCAGAUAGGUCUGCCUCUACCUUCCAGCUCCCAGGGCCUGGUCCCUGAUGCUUUCAGGGACGUUUCAGAAACGCCCGAGCCCAGCCCCUAGGAGGGGGUGGGGCAUCCCUGGCCAACCCUCAAACAUUCCCAACUCCUCUCAUAACACUAGACACAUGUGCCCAGCAAAAAAAAAAAGGACAAAUGCUUCGUGAUUUCACUUAUAUGAGGCACCUAAAGUAGUGAAAUUCAUAGAGACAGAAAGUAGAAUGUUGGUUGUCGGGAGCUGGGGGCAGUGGGGAAUAGGGAGAUAUUGUUUAAUGAGGGCAGAGUUUCAGUUGGGGAAGAUAAAAAUGUUCUGAAGAUGGAUGGUGUGGAUGGUGGUGAUGGCUGUGCCAUACAUAAUGUGAAAGUACUUAAUGUUCUUGAACUGUGCACUUAAAAUGGUUAAAUGGUAAAUUUUAUGUUAUGUAUAUUUUGCUGCAAAAACCCACUUAUACAAUAUAAGGUGACAUUAUUCCUGAUAUUUUCUUACCUCUCCCCCUCAUACACCCACCCCUACUGCUGUGCAUAUUCCAGAUUUUGAUAAACACUUGCUAAACCAA
Homo sapiens (human) is the source of this 3068-nucleotide RNA transcript. It is a transcript of the gene named G protein-coupled receptor kinase 6 pseudogene 1, with no coding region annotated. The record is from RefSeq and is marked validated. The transcript has a single exon. Lineage: Eukaryota; Metazoa; Chordata; Mammalia; Primates; Hominidae.